RNAcentral lists this ribosomal RNA (429 nucleotides) under bacterium. RNAcentral's name for it is "partial 16S ribosomal RNA". It matches the Rfam family "Bacterial small subunit ribosomal RNA", at positions 355 to 776 of the family's 1533-position model. The record is from RNAcentral.
UAGGGAAUCUUCGGCAAUGGGGGCAACCCUGACCGAGCAACGCCGCGUGAGUGAAGAAGGUUUUCGGAUCGUAAAGCUCUGUUGUCAGAGAAGAACGUGUGUGAGAGUGGAAAGUUCACACAGUGACGGUAACUUACCAGAAAGGGACGGCUAACUACGUGCCAGCAGCCGCGGUAAUACGUAGGUCCCGAGCGUUGUCCGGAUUUAUUGGGCGUAAAGCGAGCGCAGGCGGUUUAAUAAGUCUGAAGUUAAAGGCAGUGGCUUAACCAUUGUUCGCUUUGGAAACUGUUAAACUUGAGUGCAGAAGGGGAGAGUGGAAUUCCAUGUGUAGCGGUGAAAUGCGUAGAUAUAUGGAGGAACACCGGUGGCGAAAGCGGCUCUCUGGUCUGUAACUGACGCUGAGGCUCGAAAGCGUGGGGAGCAAACAGG